Molecule: RNA transcript, 1342 nt
Organism: Cimex lectularius (bed bug)
Lineage: Eukaryota; Metazoa; Arthropoda; Insecta; Hemiptera; Cimicidae
Gene name: pancreatic lipase-related protein 2-like
Exons: 7
Source: RefSeq, a predicted model, not a curated record
GUACCUUUUCAGUGUACAUAUGCAAAUCUGUUUUUGAAAAAUUAAAAACAUGAUAUUCACUUGUGUAUCGUUUAAUGUUUUGGUGAUUUUUUGUGUCGGAUUAACAGAAGGGAUUUCAUUAUCAUACAGAGCUUAUGCAAAUGUUAGCGAAGGAGAUAAAGACAUGCAGUUUCUUCUAUACACAAGGAAAAAUCCUGUGGUCCCUGAAGAGUUUGUUUUAUCCGACUUAGAUAACUUAACAAAUUUCGAUGUGAAUAGGCCUGUUAAAGUGUUGGUGCAUGGCUGGUCAAAUUAUUAUAACUCUUCUUUUAACAUAUUGGUUAAAAAUGCGUAUCUCAUUCAAUACGAUGCUAAUGUCAUUUCUGUCAACUGGGAUUGGUUGUCAGGGAGUUGGUAUUGGUGGGCCAGGGGGAACGUUGUCAAUGCGGCAAAGGUCGUAGCUUUAAUGAUUGACGGAUUGAUCACCCAGCUUGGUGUAAGCCCGGAUAGGAUACACAUAGUGGGCCACAGCCUUGGAGCACAUGUUGCAGGAAUCACAGGCUUUUUAGUGAAAAAUGGUCCUAUCGGAAGGAUUACAGGCUUGGACCCAGCAGGACCUCUAUUUUCAUCAAACGAGAAAAUGAAAAUAAGUGCUAAAUCGGCGAAGUUUGUUGACAUUAUUCAUACCGCUGGGCUUUUCACCGGAUAUUAUCCAAAUCUGGGACAUGUCGAUUUUUAUCCAAAUGGCGGCUACCCAGUCCAACCAGGGUGUGGAGUGGAUUUUACAAUUUAUAUAUAGCUUUACGAAGCCAUCGGAGAGCUUAUUGGCUAUUUGCUGAAUCAAUUACAGUACCUAAUGGAUUUAUGGCUAUCCCUUGUCAAAGUUGGAACCAAUUUAAAAACUCUAGUUGCCCAUUUGUAAAUAUAACGAAAAUGGGUGAACAUGUGUCACACAGUGCAAGAGGGACAUAUUUUUUAAGAACUAACGACAGAUCACCCUUCUCACUCAUGGAUAAAUCUGUUUUCUAUAAUCACUAACUGGAGGGGGAGAGAGAAAUGUAUAUUUCAAACAUUUUAUUUAGCGCUCGUCGCUGUAAGGUAAAAAUCCUGGGUUCGAGUCUAGCGGCUCUGCAUUCAAAACCAACAUGCUAAUAAAUAGGCUUUUUUACAAAAACACCGGCACCCCGAGGCUUGAUAUGACCUCUGCAAUUGUGAAAAAAUAAACAAAUAGAUAAAAUAUAUUAUCACAAAAAGAGGAACUACUCAUUAUUAGUCCUUGCUGUGUAAUAGCAUUAAUUUUUCUCACUGUUCCUUAAGAGGUUGUAAGUUGUCAUAACUAUCAUUAAAUGUAUUAAUUAUUUUA